Podarcis raffonei (Aeolian wall lizard) is the source of this 1205-nucleotide long non-coding RNA. RefSeq lists it as uncharacterized. Lineage: Eukaryota; Metazoa; Chordata; Lepidosauria; Squamata; Lacertidae. The transcript has 2 exons. The record is from RefSeq and is a predicted model, not a curated record.
UGGACGUCAUGGAUGGGGCUAAGCUAGGAUUUAUGUCGGGGGGGGCAGGCUUCAUGUUGGGGGGGGCAGAAUCUCAAUUAAGUUUUUUUUAAAAUUUGAUUUACUUGAUUGGGAGGCAGCCCCCCCCCUUUGGCUACACCAGUGGGAGGGGGGGCUCCUGUUUCUGGGUUAUAUGGGCUGCCCCCGCCCCCAUGGGACAAGGUGAAGCGACAGGAUCCCCAGGGUCAGCAGGAUCUUGUUACAGUGGUGCCUCAGGUUGCAGUUCAUGAACCCAAGUCAUCACCAUUUACCUUUCUAGACGGUUUAAAUAUGUCAAUGACCCCUCUGGCUAUACAAAUGAAUAUUCUUUUUUAUGUGUCCAUCUAUGAAAGAGCAAAUCCAAGCACUGGAAACACAAACCAUUGUCCACGUGAGCUGUGGGAAGGGGCACUCACUGGCCGUUUGCAACAACAGGAGAGUUUUCUCGCGGGGAGCUGGAGCUUUUGGACAGCUGGGCACUGGAGAAUUAAAAGAGCGUUUGAUUCCAAAGGUACCUACAGAAACAAAAUGCUGUACAAGUGUAAGAUGACAGUCUGCCCUUGUUCCUUAAGGCCCACACUCAUCAGCACACAGCAGAGAUGAAAGUAGAUUGAGGGUGAGUUGAAGUGAUAAAGCUGUGAGCCAUUCAGAGUCCAACUCCUGCUCAUGAGGUUCUGCCCCCUAACCUAAACUCAGAAUGGGACAAAGAGGCUACAUAACAGAAAGGAAAUAUUUAACAUUUUUUAAAAAAUCGUUAACCAUAAUACUGGGUAUCUGUAACCGAUUGCACUUCAAGGAACACGAUCCUUUUCAUAAAGUGUAUAAUAAGCAGUUCUUUUUCAACUAUUUAGUUACAAUUCAUAUGCAAAACUUUCCCAUUCAUAGGAUGCCCUAAAUAAAAGCAUUUCUAAAUUAAAUUUGAGAUAUGCUAAUUUCUUGACUAGCUCCUAUUUGGGGCAGGGGGGGAGAGAAAGAAGAUAUUUCACAAACUACAUGCAAUGAAAUAAUAGCUUGAAUUCUGAUUUAAAUGAAAGUGGGCAAACUGAUUCCAAACACUGUGGAUGGGAAGCCAUUGGGGGGGGGGGCGUAACCUGCAGUGAUGAAAAUAAGGAGCAUCCUUUGUCCCAGCUCCCUGCCCCACUUAAUCUCUACACACAUUCACCCCAUCUCCCAAAGCUGCUUUUCUU